UCAUGCUCUUUUCGGUGAAGACGGUAGAAUGGAACGUGGAACCUUCCUUGA
RNAcentral lists this small RNA (51 nucleotides) under Arabidopsis thaliana (thale cress). RNAcentral describes it as "ATSL214960". Lineage: Eukaryota; Viridiplantae; Streptophyta; Magnoliopsida; Brassicales; Brassicaceae. The record is from RNAcentral.